GUUCAAUAUACCGCAGGGGGGUCAAAAUACCAUGGCUAAGUAAAAUUUUCAAAAAUAUCUUUUCCAGUAUAUUAAAUACAUACAAACUACUUAUUGGAGUAUUAUAACUAUGUUAAGGAGUUAGAAUAGCUUGAAUUUUUGAAAUUCAAGGUCUAUAGUAGGGGGUUCAAUAUACCGCAGGGGGGUCAAAAUACCAUGGCUAAGUAAAAUUUUCAAAAUAUCUUUUCCAGCAUAUUUAAUACAUACAAACUACUUAUUGGAGUAUUAUAACUAUGUUAAAAGAGUUAGAAAUGCUUGAAUUUUUGAAAUUCAAGGUCUAUAGUAG
Molecule: long non-coding RNA, 325 nt
Filed under: Mytilus galloprovincialis (Mediterranean mussel)
Lineage: Eukaryota; Metazoa; Mollusca; Bivalvia; Mytilida; Mytilidae
Source: RNAcentral